Coregonus clupeaformis (lake whitefish) is the source of this 1527-nucleotide long non-coding RNA. RefSeq lists it as uncharacterized. The transcript is spliced from 6 exons. The record is from RefSeq and is a predicted model, not a curated record. Lineage: Eukaryota; Metazoa; Chordata; Actinopteri; Salmoniformes; Salmonidae.
GGGUGGUCCCGGGGAUCGAACCCACUACCCUGGCGUUACAAGCGCCAUGCUCUACCAAUUGAGCUACAGAGCACCAGCCCUAUCAGAGCUUAAGUCUGUAGUCACCUGGCUGCAGAGGGGGUUCCCAUUCCUCCUGAUCCUGCUGCCUAAAGUGUGUUUUCAGCACAAGCUGGCCUGAUGUUUGCAAAGCCCAACAUCAACAGCUUUGACUUCUUUGAUCUGGGCGGUGGGGAUCACUGACUUUGUUCUGAAGUACUUCACCAUCAGCCUGAAAUGCUUCACCCUGUUUCUUCCCAAGAUCCUCCGGGCCUUCAAAUCCAUAUCAUUUGACCUCUGUGGACGAGUAUCAGCCAUACGCAGGGCCUUGGCAAUUCUCUGCAGUUCUCAGCAUGUGUUCUUUGAGGAGUGCCUGUAUUUGGAUUAGACCUCAUUUGACCUCUGUGGACGAGUAUCAGCCAUACGCAGGGCCUUGGCAAUUCUCUGCAGUUCUCAGCAUGUGUUCUGUGAGGAGUGCCUGUAUUUGGGUUAGACCGUGAGUGAACGUGCCCACUCUGCCGCUCUGCCGUCAUAGAGAACCUGCACUGCAGGAAGGACGGCACCACCUCUGCCCACUUCCAGAUCUAGUAGCUGGGAUUGACAGCCAUAUGCCUCCAGGACACUGGAGGACAUUACGGAGGAAUAACUCAUUUUAAUAUGCCCUUACUGUGUUGCCCGUUAGACUCCACACGGAGUCUAAACUCUACAGUACAUACAGUUGUCUCAGCCAUCCAUAUCUUGCAAAGAAAUAGAAUAUUAACUUAUCUCCAUGCAGCACAGCACAGUGUGGUAUUGGUCAGUAUUCUUGUACAGGGUGGCUUAUGUCAGUACAUCAAUUGCUCACUUGCUGAUGUAUUUCAUAGAUCUCUCACUAAUGUUACCAUUCCUUCAACAACUGAUUUGUUAUACAUUUCACCUGAUUUCUAGUAAAGAUUCAGCUUAUGUUUGAUGACAUCAGACCUACCAAAACAUUUUUGAGAAACUCGAACACAAGUUGUGUGCUUUCAGUAUGUAUCAGAUUUUUCAGUGAAACCAUGAUUGAAGCAGUAUUGUUCAGCAUUUGUUGAAUGUUUUAUGUUGUCAUUACUUUUUGCAUAAUAAUGAUGGCAUGAAAGCAUUUUUACUUCGAAAAUUUUAUUAUCUAGAGUGAGCACAGAAUUCACAAUGUAAUACAAAUUUAAAUAGCAUGUAAUGAACACAUUCUUUAUAAAAGACACAGAUUCAGCACUGCAAUUGAAAACUACAGUUUUUUUGCGAUAUAGAAAAACAGCUUAUGUACUGUAAACAUGAAUAGCAUGCCCUUAUUUUUGCACAAGAUUUCUUGCAUGGUUUUAUAAACAUUAUCUGUCUUAACAAUGCUGAGCCCCCCAUCCCAUUUCAAAAGUUCCAAAAAAUAGAACAGUUGAGUUUACUUAUUUUUUCAGUUAUCAAGUAUUUGAUACAACUAACAGCAUUAUUCACCUAAUAAAAAUGACUGCAGAAAAAAACCUA